This is a long non-coding RNA of Bos taurus (domestic cattle), 904 nucleotides long. NCBI's taxonomy places the organism in Eukaryota, Metazoa, Chordata, Mammalia, Artiodactyla, Bovidae. The record is from Ensembl.
UUUCAGGAUAGAUAUUUGCAAACAGUGGUGUUUAGUUCAGUGUUUCUGCUAUUCAGUCUCAGAUGAUGGCAUCACUUGAGAUGGAAGCGGAGACUGUGAGUCAGGAGCAAAGUUUCCACAGGAUAAGGAAGGUCAACUUGAGAUUAGGCGUGAGGGAGCACAGACGGCUGGACAGUGGGCUUCCAAGGAGCAGUGACUAAGUGCUUAGUUAUGUAUGGAUAUGAGAGUUGGACUAUAAAGAAAGCUGAGCACUGAAGAAUUGAUGUUUUUGAACUGUGGUGUUGGAGAAGACUCUUGAGAGUCCCUUGGACUGCAAGGAGAUCCAACCAGUCCAUCCUAAAGGAGAUCAGUCCUGGAUGUUCAUUGGAAGGACUGAUGCUGAAGCUGAAGCUCCAAUACUUUGGCCACCUGAUGCGAAGAACUGACUCAAUGAUUCUGGGAAAGAUUGAAGGCGGGAGGAGAAGGGGGCAACAGAGGAUGAAAUGGUUAGAUGGCGUCACCGACUCGAUGGACAUGAGUUUGAGCAAGCUCCAGGAGUUGGUGAUGGACAGGGAGGCCUGGCGUGCUGCAGUCCAUGGGGUCGCAAAGAGUCGGACACAACCGAACGACUGAACUGAAUGUGAAUAUAGGGCAAUGCAGAAAGCCUUUCCAAAGAGCGGCCUUAAUAGUUUUGAAUUCUACACGUAAUACUAAUGAAGACCUAUGGCUUUAUCUAACUGUGGACAAAAUAGUGUUUUGUACAGAAAUGAGAGUGGAUUCAAGGCGGAAACAGUGGCAGAGAUUAACAGGCUCUGUGGAGCAGUCUAACAUUAUUUCUCAGUAAUCAGUGCAUAACUUAUCUUGUUUAAUACUUGUCACAAAUUAUUGAUGUAUUGUAGUAAAUACAGAGUAAAAUAUCAAAUAU